CCUACGGGAGGCAGCAGUGAGGAAUAUUGGACAAUGGACGAAAGUCUGAUCCAGCCAUGCCGCGUGCAGGAUGACUGCCCUAUGGGUUGUAAACUGCUUUUAUACAGGAAGAAACACCCCGACGUGUCGGGGCUUGACGGUACUGUACGAAUAAGGAUCGGCUAACUCCGUGCCAGCAGCCGCGGUAAUACGGAGGAUCCAAGCGUUAUCCGGAAUCAUUGGGUUUAAAGGGUCCGCAGGCGGUUUUUUAAGUCAGAGGUGAAAGCCUACAGCUCAACUGUAGAACUGCCUUUGAUACUG
RNAcentral lists this ribosomal RNA (300 nucleotides) under uncultured bacterium. RNAcentral's name for it is "bacterial SSU rRNA". It matches the Rfam family "Bacterial small subunit ribosomal RNA", at positions 338 to 635 of the family's 1533-position model. The record is from RNAcentral.